ACGCUGGCGGCGUGCCUAAUACAUGCAAGUCGAGCGAAGUUUUUCUGGUGCUUGCACCGGAAAAACUUAGCGGCGAACGGGUGAGUAACACGUAAAGAACCUGCCUCAUAGACUGGGACAACUAUUGGAAACGAUAGCUAAUACCGGAUAACAGCAUUAACUGCAUGGUUGAUGUUUAAAAGUUGGUUUUGCUAACACUAUGAGAUGGCUUUGCGGUGCAUUAGCUAGUUGGUGGGGUAAAGGCCUACCAAGGCGACGAUGCAUAGCCGACCUGAGAGGGUGAUCGGCCACACUGGGACUGAGACACGGCCCAGACUCCUACGGGAGGCAGCAGUAGGGAAUCUUCCGCAAUGGGCGAAAGCCUGACGGAGCAACGCCGCGUGAGUGAAGAAGGAUUUCGGUUCGUAAAGCUCUGUUGUUAGGGAAGAAUGAUUGUGUAGUAACUAUACACAGUAGAGACGGUACCUAACCAGAAAGCCACGGCUAACUACGUGCCAGCAGCCGCGGUAAUACGUAGGUGGCAAGCGUUGUCCGGAAUUAUUGGGCGUAAAGCGCGCGCAGGUGGUUUAAUAAGUCUGAUGUGAAAGCCCACGGCUCAACCGUGGAGGGUCAUUGGAAACUGUUAAACUUGAGUGCAGGAGAGAAAAGUGGAAUUCCUAGUGUAGCGGUGAAAUGCGUAGAGAUUAGGAGGAACACCAGUGGCGAAGGCGGCUUUUUGGCCUGUAACUGACACUGAGGCGCGAAAGCGUGGGGAGCAAACAGGAUUAGAUACCCUGGUAGUCCACGCCGUAAACGAUGAGUGCUAAGUGUUGGUCUCAUAAGAGAUCAGUGCUGCAGCUAACGCAUUAAGCACUCCGCCUGGGGAGUACGACCGCAAGGUUGAAACUCAAAGGAAUUGACGGGGACCCGC
Molecule: ribosomal RNA, 910 nt
Filed under: uncultured bacterium
Lineage: Bacteria
Description: bacterial SSU rRNA
Rfam family: Bacterial small subunit ribosomal RNA
Source: RNAcentral